This 428-nucleotide ribosomal RNA is filed under the name uncultured Acinetobacter sp. Its description in RNAcentral is "bacterial SSU rRNA". It matches the Rfam family "Bacterial small subunit ribosomal RNA", at positions 355 to 774 of the family's 1533-position model. The record is from RNAcentral. Lineage: Bacteria; Pseudomonadati; Pseudomonadota; Gammaproteobacteria; Moraxellales; Moraxellaceae.
UGGGGAAUAUUGGACAAUGGGGGGAACCCUGAUCCAGCCAUGCCGCGUGUGUGAAGAAGGCCUUUUGGUUGUAAAGCACUUUAAGCGAGGAGGAGGCGCUCUAGGCUAAUACCCUAGAUGCGUGGACGUUACUCGCAGAAUAAGCACCGGCUAACUCUGUGCCAGCAGCCGCGGUAAUACAGAGGGUGCGAGCGUUAAUCGGAUUUACUGGGCGUAAAGCGCGCGUAGGUGGCUAAUUAAGUCAAAUGUGAAAUCCCCGAGCUUAACUUGGGAAUUGCAUUCGAUACUGGUUAGCUAGAGUAUGGGAGAGGAUGGUAGAAUUCCAGGUGUAGCGGUGAAAUGCGUAGAGAUCUGGAGGAAUACCGAUGGCGAAGGCAGCCAUCUGGCCUAAUACUGACACUGAGGUGCGAAAGCAUGGGGAGCAAACA